GAUGAAGAACGUAGCGAAAUGCGAAAAGUAAUGUGAAUUGCAGAAUUCAGUGAAUCAUCGAAUCUUUGAACGCACAUUGCGCCCGCCAGUAUUCUGGCGGGCAUGCCUGUCUGAGCGUCAUUUCAACCCUCACGCCCCUAGGGCGUGGUGUUGGGGAUCGGCCAAGGCCCGCAAGGGACGGCCGGCCCCUAAAUCUAGUGGCGGACCCAUCGUGGCCUCCCCUGCGAAGUAGUAAUAUAUUCCGCAUCGGAUAGCGAUGAGCCCCUGCCGUUAAACCCCCAACUCUUACCAGGUUGACCUCAGAUCAGGUAGGAAUACCCGCUGAACUUAAGCAUAUCAAUAAGCGGAGGA
Molecule: unclassified non-coding RNA, 351 nt
Filed under: soil metagenome
Description: partial contains 5.8S ribosomal RNA, internal transcribed spacer 2, and large subunit ribosomal RNA
Rfam family: 5.8S ribosomal RNA (bases 1-120)
Source: RNAcentral